UACGUAGGGGCCUAGCGUUGUCCGGAUUUAUUGGGCGUAAAGAGCUCGUAGGCGGUUCGGUAAGUCAGGUGUGAAAUCUCCACGCUCAACGUGGAGGCGCCACCUGAAACUGCCGUGACUAGAGUCCGGUAGGGGAGUGUGGAAUUCCCGGUGUAGCGGUGAAAUUCGUAGAUAUCGGGAGGAACACCGGUGGCGAAGGCGGCGACCUGGGUAGAUACUGACGCUGAGGUGCGAAAGCGUGGGGAGCAAACAGG
Molecule: ribosomal RNA, 254 nt
Filed under: uncultured bacterium
Lineage: Bacteria
Description: partial 16S ribosomal RNA
Rfam family: Bacterial small subunit ribosomal RNA
Source: RNAcentral